GGACAGUGAUACAAAACUUUUUUUCGGUUGCCUAGUUUUACGUCCUGUUGAUGUGCAUUCCCAGGCCUGUUUUGUCCUGUUGACGAAUCGUUACCCCCUGUUUUCUCCUGUUGUUGGUUUGCUGCAAAUUUUGGACCAUUUUAUCCAACUCUACCAUGGGCGACCUACUUGUGAUGUGGACCUGACCCUCCGCCAUGUAGCAGACAACCCCCCUCAGGUCUUGCGGUGUUUCCUUCCCAAGUGGCGUGGAUGUGAAGAGACACACAGUUCCCCUGAUGUUCCAUGGGCGACCAACUUGUGAUGUGGACCUAACCCUCCGCCAUGUAGCAGACAACCCCCCCUCAGGUGAGAUGUAUUUCCCUAAACUCCCUCUUGUCCAAGUCACCCCGACAUGUCCAAAGUGCAGCCCUCCGGCAUUUGCCAAACUGCACAUCCAAUCAUUCCCUGAUACACCAAUACUGGUCAAGGGAAUGUUUGGAUGUGUAGUGACGCAAGUGCCGGGGGAUUGCAUUUGGGCCCACUGUAACCUGCUUGUGUCGUGUCGAUUGUACCUCUUCUUUUCAGUACCAGGGUGACACUUUACCAUUAGCUGGAACCUCAUACUGUUCUCUUCCACAGGUCUUGCGGUGUUUCCUUCCCAAGUGGCGUGGAUGUGAAGAGACACACAGUUCCCCUGAUGUUCCAUGGGCGACCAACUUGUGAUGUGGACCUAACCCUCCACCAUGUAGCAGACAA
Molecule: long non-coding RNA, 735 nt
Organism: Pseudophryne corroboree (corroboree frog)
Lineage: Eukaryota; Metazoa; Chordata; Amphibia; Anura; Myobatrachidae
Exons: 3
Source: RefSeq, a predicted model, not a curated record